GACGAACGCUGGCGGCGUGCUUAACACAUGCAAGUCGAACGGAAAGUCCCUGAUUGUGGCGUGCGCUCGAGUAGCGAACGGGUGGGUAACAGGGGAGUAACCUGCCCUUGAAUUUGGGAUAACUUCAGGGAACUGGGGCUAAUACCGGAUAGGAGCUCCGCUGCAUGGUUGGGGUUGGAAAGUUUCGGCGGUUGGGGAUGGACGCGCGGCUUAUCCGCUUGUUGGUGGGGCAGUGGCUUACCAAGGCGUUGACGGGUAGCCGGCCUGAGAGGGUGACCGGCCACAUAGGGACUGAGAUACGGGCCGGACGGCUACGGGAGGCAGCGGUGGGGAUUUGUCCACGAUGGGCGGAAGCCUUAUGGAGCAACGCCGCGUGCGAGAUGACGGCCGUCGGGUUAUAACACGCUUUCGCCUGGGAAGAAGCGUGAGUGACGGUAAUGAGUAAAGAAGCACCGGCUAACUACGUG
This 467-nucleotide ribosomal RNA is filed under the name uncultured bacterium. RNAcentral describes it as "partial 16S ribosomal RNA". It matches the Rfam family "Bacterial small subunit ribosomal RNA", at positions 28 to 507 of the family's 1533-position model. The record is from RNAcentral.